Molecule: long non-coding RNA, 527 nt
Organism: Salvelinus fontinalis (brook trout)
Lineage: Eukaryota; Metazoa; Chordata; Actinopteri; Salmoniformes; Salmonidae
Exons: 2
Source: RefSeq, a predicted model, not a curated record
CAAAGACACUACAAGGCAUUACAAGAUGGUACUUGAAGGAGAAACUAAAUUGAAUAAUUUGGUACACUAGACUGAGCACAUCUAAAUACAUACUGUAAUGAAACAGGCAGGGAGCAGGUCUCGAACCCUCGACCUUCUAGCCCGAGGUCGUUACAAUACUUUGUCAUGACGAUAUAACGAAUGGAUGUGUCCUAGACAAGUAUGCUCAUACCAUCGUUUGGAUGAUUUGGCGAUCUGGAGCGCAGAUUGUCUUGUCUCGUCAAGACUACCAGGAUGUUUUUCGUUCUCCUGUUUUCUUGAGCCCCUGUUUUCUAGUUUUCCUUGUUUUGCUAAUUCUGCCUGCCCUGAGCUUGCCUGCGGUUCUGUACCUUUUGACACUGCCCUGGAUUACUGACAUCUGCCUGCCCUGACCCUGAUCCUGCCUGCCACUCUGUACCUUACGGACUCUGCCCUGGACUACCAACCUCCGCCUGCCUUGACCUGUUGUUUGCCUGCCCCUGGUUUAUAAUAAACAUCUGUUAUUCGAA